GGAUGAAGAACGCAGCGAAAUGCGAUACGUAAUGUGAAUUGCAGAAUUCAGUGAAUCAUCGAGUCUUUGAACGCACAUUGCGCCCUCUGGUAUUCCGGAGGGCAUGCCUGUCCGAGCGUCAUUGCUGCCCUCAAGCACGGCUUGUGUGUUGGGCCCCGCCCCCCGAUCCCGGGGGGCGGGCCCGAAAGGCAGCGGCGGCACCGCGUCCGGUCCUCGAGCGUAUGGGGCUUUGUCACCCGCUCUGUAGGCCCGGCCGGCGCUUGCCGAUCAACCAAACUUUUUUCCAGGUUGACCUCGGAUCAGGUAGGGAUACCCGCUGAACUUAAGCAUAUCAAUAAGCGGAGGA
This 346-nucleotide unclassified non-coding RNA is filed under the name soil metagenome. RNAcentral's name for it is "partial contains 5.8S ribosomal RNA, internal transcribed spacer 2, and large subunit ribosomal RNA". The stretch from base 2 to 121 matches the Rfam family "5.8S ribosomal RNA", at positions 35 to 154 of the family's 154-position model. The record is from RNAcentral.